RNAcentral lists this long non-coding RNA (3846 nucleotides) under Homo sapiens (human). RNAcentral's name for it is "non-protein coding lnc-THUMPD1-3:2". Lineage: Eukaryota; Metazoa; Chordata; Mammalia; Primates; Hominidae. The record is from RNAcentral.
CACAUAAAUGCAUUUCUUAAAGUAUUUAAAAACAACACACAAAAAAUAAGCACAUUCUAAAUCUAAUAGAACUAAAAAUUAUGAAAAGUGUUUAAUACAUAGUCUUUAAAAUAGUAAUCUUCUUUUAAAUAUAUCUUUUUUUAUUGGUUAGCUUUUCUAUAGGAGAAAACCAAAAGGACUAAGUGGUGCCUUGCAGGAAGUAGGAAUAGAAUUCUCAGGACGAGAACAUUCUGGUUAGUAUACAUUAAAAAUUAUGUAAGCCAUUUGACUUUUAAAAAAUACUUCAUAUGAAUUUCAUUUUUUGGUAAUGUCAUUAGUAAGGGAUAUCUUCAGCCUAAAAAAAAAAAACUCCUAAUCUAAACAAUUCACAUUGUUUCUAAGACUUUCAAAUUACCACUUUCAUAAACUAUUGUAAGAUACACUGCCAUCUAGUGGCUUUCUAGUUGCUAAGAAGAAUGAAAAGAAUGAGCCAAAUCAAAUGGAGAUUAAACAAGUGCUCAAAUAAUAGAAUGGACUAGUGAAAAAACUGAACAAGACUAUUAGAUUAUUCACAAAUCCUGGUUCCUGCAGAACGCUGGCCACAUUUUGGGGAACUGUCUAAUACAUUUUCAUAUCCUCCUCUAUAAAUGUGGACGAGCUUGUCUUUCACUGGUAAUGCUGCCAUAGCCUUCCACUUCCAAGACCAGUUUAUCAUGAUUAAAAUUAGUAGAUGGUCAUAAAACUAAAACUGUGUUCCAAUUUCUACACAAGUGGUGUUUUUCUUUUUAAGUUAUUUCUUUAGUACUAAGGAAAUAGUACUAGUACCACUAAAUUCAGUGUUUGAUAUCUGUAUCCUCAGGGUUGGACGAUUCUCGGAAUACUGCCCUUCUUGCUUGGAAAAUGAUCAGAGAUGGUUGUGUAAUGAAAAUUACAAGGUCGUUGAACAAGGUUAGUAGUGUCUUGCCUUUUUAUUCUGUCAUCUCAAACUUCAUAAACAGUCAUACGUUCUUUGAAACGUAGAUUUAAUGUGUGCAGUCAUUUAUAAAUCAAUGACAUUUCUCUUUUUUGUCAUAAAACUGUAUACUGAAGAAAUUAACGAAUGCACAGUUUCUAAAGCUGUUGCAUUUGUCUGUGGAAUCAUAGGUUCCCACUAAGAAGAAUUUCAGCAUUCUGGCCAGAAAUUUGAAUACAAUUCAAGUUGAAGAAAUGUCUGCCUGUAACAUUAGCAUCCAGGGUCCCAGCAUAUAUAAUAAGGAGCCUAAAAAUAUAAUAAAUCCUCAUGAAAAAGUUCAAAUGAAGUCAAUUUGUGCAAAUUCUCCUAUAAAGGCACAACAGGAUCAAUUACAAGUAAAAAACAAUAUAAAAGCAAGUCUUCACAAUGUCAAAAGUUCCUUACCUCUUUUUAAUACUAAGUCCUCUACUUCUGUGGGGCAGUUGCAGUCUCCUACCUUGAAUUCACCUAUCUAUAUGCAAAAGCAAGGAAAAAAUGAACAUCUUGCAUUUAAUACCAAAUCUAAGGCUUCAACAGUUGGUUCAGAAUUGGUACUUGUUUCUACCACCGUUCCAACUGUUCAUCAUGUUUCUGAUUUGGAAAUGAGCUCUACUCUGGACUGUUUACCUGUGUUGGCUGAUUGGGAGGAUGUGGUUUUACUGCCAGCAUCUCAGCCUGAGGAAAACGUAGACUGUACAGUUCCCAUUAGUGACUCAGACUUAGAGAUUUCAUUUAAUUCUGGAGAAAGAUUAAUGGUUUUGAAAGAAUUGGAAAUGUCAAGUCAUGAAAACUUUGGAGACAUAGAGGAAACUCCUCAAAAAUCUGAGACUUCUAAGUCUAUUGUGUACAAGAGUCCUCACACUACUAUUUAUAAUGUAAAAGAAGCCAAAGAUCCAGGUUCAGAUAUUUCUGCCUUUAAGUUACCUGAACACAAAUCAAGUACCUUCAACAGAGUUAAUGCCAAUAUGUCUCAUCCUUUAGUUUUGGGGAAACAUCCUCUUCUUUCAGGUGGUACCAAAAGGAAUCCAUGCAGUCCCCAAGCUUUCCCACCAGCAAAAAAACAACCCUUCACUAUUCAUGAAGAAAAGCCUACAUCAUCUGAUUGCUCCCCAGUAAGAAGUUCUUCCUGGAGGCGUCUCCCAUCUAUAUUAACUUCUACAGUUAACCUACAAGAGCCAUGGAAGAGUGGGAAAAUGACACCUCCAUUAUGCAAGUGUGGUCGGAGAUCUAAGAGACUUGUUGUUUCUAAUAAUGGACCGAACCAUGGAAAAGUCUUCUAUUGUUGCCCUAUCGGGAAAUACCAAGAAAACAGAAAAUGUUGUGGUUAUUUCAAAUGGGAACAAACACUUCAAAAGGAAAGAGCCAACAGCAUGGUUCCAUCUCAUUCCACAGGGGGACUCACUUUUAGUUCUCCAGAAACAAGCCAUAUUUGUGACAGAAAUUUAAGUAUUUCCACCAAAAAUUCUUUGAGACUCAGGCCUUCAAUGAGGAAUUGAUAACCUUUCAUGUAUGAAUCCUAAUUGUUCCUUGAAUUUCCAAACAUGAGUAUUCUGAUAACAUCUUACACUAUUUUAUUUUUAUUUUAUAUAUUAAUGUUUACUGCAUUUACCAUACUUUCUUCAGGAACCACAAGUGUAAUCUUUUGUAAACAGUAUUUAUUAGAUUACAUAUAAUAAGCAACAAUAGUAUAUGAUCCUUCUUUUAUAGUUAGACCUUGAAACAAGUCUAAACUAUUUUUAAAUUAUUUGCAAAAAAUGUGACUAAUAAAAAUCCCUAGUCUAUUUUCAGGUAGAUUCUUGUACUUUGAGAUUAUCAUAAUCUUCUAACUGAUAUUUUAUAUUUUUCUAAAAACUUUUAUAAGUUCUUUAGUUUUAUUUCAGGCUUGAACAUUGGUUCUGAUUUGUAUAUCAACAUAUCAGAAGAAUUAGUCAACUAAAGUUUGAAAACCUAUGUAGCAGAGAUCUGGUUCAGAAACUGCUUCUAUACUAUACAUUUAAAAAUUAAUCAGCAAUUGAUGGUAUUAUUUUUAUAUUAAGAAAUGAUAGGAACAUUGACACUAAUGUGGAGGAAUUUGCCAAAUAUUUUAUUUCAAAAUUUAGCCUCUGAUAUCAUAACCACAAGAUAUUUUAAAUCAACAGUUUCUAAGCAUACUACCACAGUUUUUAUGACCUCUCCAUCAUCUUGUGGUUUCUAGAGAUUGACAGAUACUAUGUUUGUUUUAUAGAUAUGGUAAUUAAUGAAACAACUUUAAAUUGUCUUCCAUUCUUUCUUCCUCAGUUCAUUUCUUUUUGUCUUCCCACUGAUAGUCUUUGGCAGCUCUUGAAUAAAUUCUACCUGUUGGCAUCAAGGGGAAGAAAAUUAGCCUGGAAAUUUUUAUCUUUACAUAAAGCCAAUUAUAUAGCAGUUUGAUUAUGAAUUCUAGGUGGAAGAAUUAGAAUAGUCUUUGGAAUGGGUUUUGGGUAACAGCCAAAAUAGGGAAAAGGGUAUUGUUAGGAAAGUUGUCUUGAUAUUAAGUAUUUACUGUGAGUCCAGUAAGCCAAAGGACCAAACAAAAUAGGUUCAGGGUUUCAUUUUAAUCUCAAAGAUUCUGAUUCUUACCCAUAUGUCAUCAGUUCAGUUUGGGACAUGUGGUGCAGCAUGUGUGAAGAAAAUAUUCAUUAAAAUGUAAAAAUAAACACUUGAAAUUGUCCACAACACUGAGCAAAUAUUCGUUAUAAUUAGGAUGCCUACCUUUCUGGGAUAUUUGUAAGGUGCUGUAGUUUUUUUAACAUGCUCCUGAAUCUCCUUUAUUAGUUGUUCUUGAUCAUGUGACUUGUAAUCAGGAUUUAGAACGACAAAAGCCUUUACUACCUAAAAUAAAUAUUUGAAACACCAGG